Molecule: ribosomal RNA, 404 nt
Filed under: Blastocystis sp.
Lineage: Eukaryota; Bigyra; Opalinata; Blastocystidae
Description: SSU rRNA
Rfam family: Eukaryotic small subunit ribosomal RNA
Source: RNAcentral
CCGCGGUAAUUCCAGCUCCAAUAGCGUAUAUUAACGUUGUUGCAGUUAAAAAGCUCGUAGUUGAAGUGAGGGAGUGUGUGUUCAUGAGAGCUAGUCUCGAGUGUUCACAACCUCCCCCCUCCAAUCGGUGUAGUGGGGUAUUCAGUUAUUUCACUACUCCUUUGGUCGUUUACUGUGAGAAAAUUAGAGUGUUCAAAGCGGGCGUUUGUUUGAAUAGAUUAGCAUGGAAUAAUGAUUGAAGGCUUUCGUGUUCGAUUUGAUUGGUUUGUUCAUGGAAGCAAGGUUAAAAGGAACAGUUGGGGGUAUUCAUAUUCACUAGUUAGAGGUGAAAUUCUCGGAUUUAUGGAAGAUGAACAGGUGCGAAAGCAUUUACCAAGGAUGUUUUCAUUAAUCAAGAGCGAAAG